CACUGCGAUUGAGAAGAAAAACUUCUUACUCAGAAAUGGGUGAUCUGAAUUUGAGUUGAAAAUCUGCUACUCCUUAACUCUGUAUCCAAGUUACUACUGGAGCUCCAAGAGCAUCAGUAUCAUCUGUGAAGGAAUCUGAUGCCAAGAGGACUGAACUCCACUUUCUGCGGCUGCUGCCGUGGCCGCCACCACCAGGGCCGAGGAACUGAGUCUUUGAACAACCAGUGGCCACCCGGCCUCGGUCAUUUAAGCACAAAGGCAGAAUAGCCGAGACUCAGUGGACCUCUCUUGUCAGCUUCAACAUUUGCCAGCCAUAGUCAUUCAACUCCAAGAUCUCCGCUCUAUGCCACAGUAGCUAUAAAAAGUGAGGGAUGAGCCUAUUGGUCUGCUGAGCGGAACAGCCAACAGAACAUCAAAGAGCCGUGCUCGAGGGAUGUUUACGGCUAAGGAGGUUCCGCGGGGCACUGCUUCAAGGACAUGAAGUCCAUCCAUCUCUCCAGAUGGAAAACCCAGACCGGAAACACAAGAUGGCACAAAUCUUUCCAGUCUGUAAGUGAAGGUAAAAGGGCUCCCAGGUCAGGGUCACGUGACUUCUCCAGACAGGGAAGCUUUCGUGGGAGGGAGGUUACGCACGCAAAAUCCCCCUGGAGGAUGGCCAGCCCACCGCUAGCUAGUGUCGCUGAGCCUUGCCACAAUUUAUUACAGGCUUUCACAAUUGAUACUGAAAGGACUUUAGUGGUAUUUCCUCACUUACUUUCCACAUUUUCUCAAUACGUAGAUUGUCUAAACGUACAAGUGUUGAUGCUUCUGUCAGUCGGUGUUAUCUAGUUGCUCCAAGCAGCUUUCCUAGUUCAUUAUCAGCAGUGUAUCUGAUGUCACACCACGAAGCUUCUGAAGCCUGGUAACGUAUCCAUCCGUAAAUCGAGAACCUGGAGCGGGGGAGGGGGGUGUUAUUCAGAAGAGAGAAGGAAUUGUGACCGUUCAGCAGAAUGUUGAUUACAAGUUUAAUUCAAGUUACAUGCAUUGGUGAUUCAGUCCUACAAAACAAGGUGUUUAGGUUAUUAGAUGCCUAAGUGACCUUCUCUUUCCCUGUUUAUGUUAAUAGAUAGUGUGUCUGACGCAGAGUGUUAUUAGAUAGUUUUGCUCAGUUUUCAGAAAAGACCGUGAAUACACAAAUCAGCAGAGGCCAGAUCCUAUGCCCUUCAUAAUGACUAGCGACCAACAAAUCCAUCAUGAAUCUAUUAAAACCGUAUGCCCUGGGAGCAUUACUAGCAAAUUUCACAGUCUGAAUUCUUACCAAGGUGGGAAAUUUUAUGGAUUUCGCUGUUAACAUAAUAUGCAACCUGAUAGUCACGUGAAAAUGUAAUCACAAGCUAUAGUUUUCUUGUUAUUAACUCAAAUUAGGAUAUUGUAUCUAUUUUACUAGAUUUCAAAAAAUCUAAAACUGUUGCAUCUGUAGUUUUAGAUAUAUUUAUAUGUUAUAGUUGGCUUUAAACACUAGUUAAAUUUUAUAUUUAAUGUCUUACUACAGCUGUAGGGGGCUGUUCAUGCAUACUAAGCCUGGUUUGUGGUACUACGAGUAUCUUUGUAAAAAUGACUUACAAAGAAUGAUUCUAUUAUAAAAAUAUAACUAUUAUUGCUAUACUCCGA
Molecule: long non-coding RNA, 1650 nt
Organism: Mustela erminea (ermine)
Lineage: Eukaryota; Metazoa; Chordata; Mammalia; Carnivora; Mustelidae
Exons: 6
Source: RefSeq, a predicted model, not a curated record